GCCAGGUGUGGUGGUGUGCACCUGUAGUCCCAGCUACUUGGGAGGCUGAGGUGGGAGGAUCACUUGAACCCAGGAGUUUGAGGCUGCAGUGAGCUGUGAUCAUGCCACUGCGAUCCAGCCUGGGUGACAGAGCAAGACCCCAUCUCUA
Unclassified non-coding RNA from Papio anubis (olive baboon), 148 nucleotides. It matches the Rfam family "Metazoan signal recognition particle RNA". Rfam says of the family: The signal recognition particle (SRP) is a universally conserved ribonucleoprotein. It is involved in the co-translational targeting of proteins to membranes. Lineage: Eukaryota; Metazoa; Chordata; Mammalia; Primates; Cercopithecidae. The record is from Ensembl.